AGUAAACAUGUUAGUAACGGAC
This 22-nucleotide microRNA is filed under the name Ananas comosus (pineapple). RNAcentral's name for it is "microRNA s1027_c129a". Lineage: Eukaryota; Viridiplantae; Streptophyta; Magnoliopsida; Poales; Bromeliaceae. The record is from RNAcentral.